GACGAACCGUGCGAACGUUGUUCGGAAUCACUGGGCUUAAAGGGCGCGUAGGCGGCUUGCCAAGUCAGUGGUGAAAUCCUGCAGCUUAACUCCAGAACUGCCUUCGAUACUGGCGAUCUCGAGUCCGGAAGAGGUGAGUGGAACUCCUAGUGUAGAGGUGGAAUUCGUAGAUAUUAGGAAGAACACCAGUGGCGAAGGCGGCUCACUGGUCCGGUACUGACGCUGAGGUGCGAAAGCGUGGGGAGCAAACAGG
This 253-nucleotide ribosomal RNA is filed under the name uncultured prokaryote. RNAcentral describes it as "partial 16S ribosomal RNA". It matches the Rfam family "Bacterial small subunit ribosomal RNA", at positions 524 to 776 of the family's 1533-position model. The record is from RNAcentral.